CACCUUUGGCAGUGAUUACAGCUGUGAGUCUUUCUGGUGACAUCAAUAAGAGAUGAUUUCACCUGGAUUCAACGGGUCAGUCUAUGUCAUGGAAAGGGCUUUAUUCCCAUCAUUUGAAAUGACUCACACAGUAUUUCCUUCGUCUCUCUCUCGCUCUCCACAUGAAAGGGCCCAACCAUCCAUGAGAGGAGGAGGGGAGAGGAAGAGAGAGAGAAGUAGGGGGAGGAGAGGAGAGGGAGAGGAGAGGGAGAGGGAGAGGAGAGGGAGAGGGAGAGAGGGAGAGGGAGAGAGAAUGGAGAGAGGGAGAGAGAAUGGAGAGGAUAGGAGAAGGGGAGGAGAGGAGAGGAGAAGGGGAGGAGAAGAGGAGGGGAGAGUAAGAGAGAGAAGUAGAGGAGAGGAGAAGUAGAAGGUAGGAGAGAGAAGUAGAUGAGAGGAGAGGAGAAGUAGAAGGUAGGAGAGAGAAGUAGAUGAGAGGAGAGGAGAAGUAGAAGGUAGGAGAGAGAAGUAGAUGAGAGGAGAGGAGAAGUAGAAGGUAGGAGAGAGAAGUAGAUGAGAGGAGAGGAGAAGUAGAAGGUAGGAGAGAGAAGUAGAUGAGAGGAGAGGAGAAGUAGAAGGUAGGAGAGAGAAGUAGAUGAGAGGAGAGGAGAAGUAGAAGGUAGGAGAGAGAAGUAGAUGAGAGGAGAGAGAAGUAGAUGAGAGGAGAAGUAGAAGGUAGGAGAGAGAAGUAGAAGGUAGGAGAGAGAAGUAGAUGAGAGGAGAAGUAGAAGGUAGGAGAGAGAAGUAGAUGAGAGGAGAAGUAGAAGGUAGGAGAGAGAAGUAGAUGAGAGGAGAAGAGAGGAGAGGAGAGAGAAGUAGAGGGGAAAGGAAGAGAGAAGUAGAGGAGAGGAGAGAGAGAAGUAGAAGGUAGGAGAGGAGAUGAGAGAGAAGUAGAAGGUAGGAGAGGAGAGGAGAGAUAAGUAGAGGGGAAAGGAAGAGAGGGAGAGGAGAG
RNAcentral lists this long non-coding RNA (988 nucleotides) under Salmo salar (Atlantic salmon). RNAcentral's name for it is "lncRNA (ENSSSAG00000114747.1)". The record is from RNAcentral. Lineage: Eukaryota; Metazoa; Chordata; Actinopteri; Salmoniformes; Salmonidae.